AACGAACGCUGGCGGCAUGCCUAACACAUGCAAGUCGAACGAGACCUUCGGGUCUAGUGGCGCAAGGGAGCGUAACGCGUGGGAACCUGCCCUUAGGUUCGGAAUAACUCCCCACAAGGGGUGCUAAUACCGGAUAAUGUCGUCGAACCAAAGAUUUAUCGCCUUUGGAUGGGCCCGCGUUGGAUUAGCUAGUUGGUAGGGUAACAGCCUACCAAGGCGACGAUACAUAGCUGGUCUGAGAGGGUGAUCAGCCACACUGGGACUGAGACACGGCCCAGACUCUUACGGGAGGAAGCAGUGGGGAAUAUUGGAAAAUGGGCGAAAGCUUGAGCCAGCAAUGCCGCGUGAGUGAUGCAGGCCUUAGGGUUGUAAAGCUCUUUUAUCCGGGAGGAUAAUGACAGUACCGGGAGAAUAAGCCCCGGCUAACUCCGUG
RNAcentral lists this ribosomal RNA (433 nucleotides) under uncultured bacterium. RNAcentral's name for it is "partial 16S ribosomal RNA". It matches the Rfam family "Bacterial small subunit ribosomal RNA", at positions 29 to 507 of the family's 1533-position model. The record is from RNAcentral.